This 1498-nucleotide ribosomal RNA is filed under the name Lactiplantibacillus pentosus. Its description in RNAcentral is "bacterial SSU rRNA". It matches the Rfam family "Bacterial small subunit ribosomal RNA". Lineage: Bacteria; Bacillati; Bacillota; Bacilli; Lactobacillales; Lactobacillaceae. The record is from RNAcentral.
ACGAACGCNGGCGGCGUGCCUAAUACAUGCAAGUCGAACGAACUCUGGUAUUGAUUGGUGCUUGCAUCAUGAUUUACAUUUGAGUGAGUGGCGAACUGGUGAGUAACACGUGGGAAACCUGCCCAGAAGCGGGGGAUAACACCUGGAAACAGAUGCUAAUACCGCAUAACAACUUGGACCGCAUGGUCCGAGUUUGAAAGAUGGCUUCGGCUAUCACUUUUGGAUGGUCCCGCGGCGUAUUAGCUAGAUGGUGGGGUAACGGCUCACCAUGGCAAUGAUACGUAGCCGACCUGAGAGGGUAAUCGGCCACAUUGGGACUGAGACACGGCCCAAACUCCUACGGGAGGCAGCAGUAGGGAAUCUUCCACAAUGGACGAAAGUCUGAUGGAGCAACGCCGCGUGAGUGAAGAAGGGUUUCGGCUCGUAAAACUCUGUUGUUAAAGAAGAACAUAUCUGAGAGUAACUGUUCAGGUAUUGACGGUAUUUAACCAGAAAGCCACGGCUAACUACGUGCCAGCAGCCGCGGUAAUACGUAGGUGGCAAGCGUUGUCCGGAUUUAUUGGGCGUAAAGCGAGCGCAGGCGGUUUUUUAAGUCUGAUGUGAAAGCCUUCGGCUCAACCGAAGAAGUGCAUCGGAAACUGGGAAACUUGAGUGCAGAAGAGGACAGUGGAACUCCAUGUGUAGCGGUGAAAUGCGUAGAUAUAUGGAAGAACACCAGUGGCGAAGGCGGCUGUCUGGUCUGUAACUGACGCUGAGGCUCGAAAGUAUGGGUAGCAAACAGGAUUAGAUACCCUGGUAGUCCAUACCGUAAACGAUGAAUGCUAAGUGUUGGAGGGUUUCCGCCCUUCAGUGCUGCAGCUAACGCAUUAAGCAUUCCGCCUGGGGAGUACGGCCGCAAGGCUGAAACUCAAAGGAAUUGACGGGGGCCCGCACAAGCGGUGGAGCAUGUGGUUUAAUUCGAAGCUACGCGAAGAACCUUACCAGGUCUUGACAUACUAUGCAAAUCUAAGAGAUUAGACGUUCCCUUCGGGGACAUGGAUACAGGUGGUGCAUGGUUGUCGUCAGCUCGUGUCGUGAGAUGUUGGGUUAAGUCCCGCAACGAGCGCAACCCUUAUUAUCAGUUGCCAGCAUUAAGUUGGGCACUCUGGUGAGACUGCCGGUGACAAACCGGAGGAAGGUGGGGGAUGACGUCAAAUCAUCAUGCCCCUUAUGACCUGGGCUACACACGUGCUACAAUGGAUGGUACAACGAGUUGCGAACUCGCGAGAGUAAGCUAAUCUCUUAAAGCCAUUCUCAGUUCGGAUUGUAGGCUGCAACUCGCCUACAUGAAGUCGGAAUCGCUAGUAAUCGCGGAUCAGCAUGCCGCGGGUGAAUACGUUUCCCGGGGCCUUGUACACACCGCCCGGUCACACCAUGAAGAGUUUGUAACACCCAAAGUCGGUGGGGGUAACCUUUUUAGGAACCAGCCGCCCUAAGGUGGGGACAGAUGAUUAGGGUG